AUCACUUCUCCACCUUUUGGCUAAGAUCAAGUGUCAUAUCUGUUCUUAUCAUUUCAGAGACUUCUGGGAUGGUGGAUGGUAAACCUAUCACUUUAGUGACUCCAUAUCUUUGUGUUUUUCCUUUCCAUUCUAGAAAAAAAAAGAAUAAUGGUC
Molecule: small nuclear RNA, 153 nt
Organism: Vulpes vulpes (red fox)
Lineage: Eukaryota; Metazoa; Chordata; Mammalia; Carnivora; Canidae
Gene: U2
Rfam family: U2 spliceosomal RNA
About the family: U2 is a small nuclear RNA (snRNA) component of the spliceosome (involved in pre-mRNA splicing). Complementary binding between U2 snRNA (in an area lying towards the 5' end but 3' to hairpin I) and the branchpoint sequence (BPS) of the intron results the bulging out of an unpaired adenosine, on the BPS, which initiates a nucleophilic attack at the intronic 5' splice site, thus starting the first of two transesterification reactions that mediate splicing.
Source: Ensembl